This 440-nucleotide ribosomal RNA is filed under the name uncultured bacterium. Its description in RNAcentral is "partial 16S ribosomal RNA". It matches the Rfam family "Bacterial small subunit ribosomal RNA", at positions 338 to 795 of the family's 1533-position model. The record is from RNAcentral.
CCUACGGGAGGCAGCAGUGGGGAAUAUUGCACAAUGGGGGAAACCCUGAUGCAGCGACGCCGCGUGAGUGAAGAAGUAUUUCGGUAUGUAAAGCUCUAUCAGCAGGGAAGAAAAUGACGGUACCUGAUUAAGAAGCCCCGGCUAACUACGUGACAGGAGCCGCGGUAAUACGUAGGGGGCAAGCGUUAUACGGAUUUACUGGGGGUAAAGGGAGCGGAGAGGGUGGCACAAGGCUGGAGGGAAAUGCCGGGGGUUAACCCCGGAACUGCUUUGGAAACUGUGCAGCUAGAGUGCAGGAGGGGUAAAUGGAAUUCCUAGUGUAGCGGUGAAAUGCGUAGAUAUUAGGAGGAACACCAGUGGCGAAGGCGGCGUACUGGACUGUAACUGACGUUGAGGCUCGAAAGCGUGGGGAGCAAACAGGAUUAGAUACCCCAGUAGUC